AGAGUUUGAUCAUGGCUCAGAACGAACGCUGGCGGCAGGCUUAACACAUGCAAGUCGAACGCUCCGCAAGGAGAGUGGCAGACGGGUGAGUAACGCGUGGGAAUCUACCCAGUUCUACGGAACAACUGAGGGAAACUUCAGCUAAUACCGUAUACGCCCUAUGGGGGAAAGAUUUAUCGGAAUUGGAUGAGCCCGCGUAAGAUUAGCUAGUUGGUGAGGUAAUGGCUCACCAAGGCGACGAUCUUUAGCUGGUCUGAGAGGAUGAUCAGCCACACUGGGACUGAGACACGGCCCAGACUCCUACGGGAGGCAGCAGUGGGGAAUAUUGGACAAUGGGCGCAAGCCUGAUCCAGCCAUGCCGCGUGAGUGAUGAAGGCCUUAGGGUUGUAAAGCUCUUUCAGUGGGGACGAUAAUGACGGUACCCACAGAAGAAGCCCCGGCUAACUUCGUG
Molecule: ribosomal RNA, 451 nt
Filed under: uncultured bacterium
Lineage: Bacteria
Description: bacterial SSU rRNA
Rfam family: Bacterial small subunit ribosomal RNA
Source: RNAcentral